AACGGUCUAUACCUGCGGUACCUGCGGAGGGAUCAUUAUCGAGUUCCUGCCCUUGGGUAGAUCUCCCACCCUUGCGUACCUAUCGCUCGUUGCUUUGGCGGGCCGCUUCGGCUACCGGCGCUCGCUGGUAAGUGCCCGCCAGAGGUUCUAAACUCUGAACAUUAGUGUCGUCUGAGUCCUAGAUAAUCGUGAAAACUUUCAGCAACGGAUCUCU
Molecule: unclassified non-coding RNA, 214 nt
Filed under: soil metagenome
Description: partial contains 5.8S ribosomal RNA, internal transcribed spacer 2, and large subunit ribosomal RNA
Source: RNAcentral